UGAGGUAUAGCUCAGUGGUAGAGUGAAUGCUUAGCAUACAUGAGGUCUUGGGUUCAGUCCUCAGUACCUCCA
Molecule: transfer RNA, 72 nt
Filed under: Camelus bactrianus (Bactrian camel)
Lineage: Eukaryota; Metazoa; Chordata; Mammalia; Artiodactyla; Camelidae
Also listed under: 3 other names
Rfam family: tRNA
About the family: Transfer RNA (tRNA) molecules are approximately 80 nucleotides in length. Their secondary structure includes four short double-helical elements and three loops (D, anti-codon, and T loops).
Source: Rfam by way of RNAcentral